RNAcentral lists this ribosomal RNA (406 nucleotides) under uncultured bacterium. RNAcentral's name for it is "partial 16S ribosomal RNA". It matches the Rfam family "Bacterial small subunit ribosomal RNA", at positions 29 to 526 of the family's 1533-position model. The record is from RNAcentral.
AUUGAACGCUGGCGGCAGGCCUAACACAUGCAAGUCGAACGAGUGGCGGACGGGUGAGUAAUGUCUGGGAAACUGCCUGAUGGAGGGGGAUAACUACUGGAAACGGUAGCUAAUACCGCAUACCAUCGGAUGUGCCCAGCUGGGAUUAGCUAGUAGGGGGGGUAAAGGCUCACCUAGGCGACGAUCCCUCGCUGGUCUGAGAGGAUGACCAGCAACACGGGAAGUGAGACACGGUCCAGAAUCCUACGGUAGGCAGAAGUGGGGAAGAUUGGACAAUGGGGGCAAGCCGGAUGCAGCCAUGCCGCGUGGAUGAAGAAGGCUUUCGGGUUGAAAAGUACUUUCAGCGGGGAGGCGUUACCCGCAGAAGAAGCACCGGCUAACUCCGUGCCAGCAGCCGCGGUAAUAC